CCUACGGGUGGCAGCAGUGAGGAAUAUUGGUCAAUGGACGGAAGUCUGAACCAGCCAUGCCGCGUGCAGGAAGACGGCUCUAUGAGUUGUAAACUGCUUUUGUACAAGGGUAAACCUGAAUACGUGUAUUCAGCUGAAAGUACUGUACGAAUAAGGAUCGGCUAACUCCGUGCCAGCAGCCGCGGUAAUACGGAGGAUCCAAGCGUUAUCCGGAUUUAUUGGGUUUAAAGGGUGCGUAGGCGGAUUGAUAAGUUAGAGGUGAAAUUUCGAGGCUCAACCUCUUCGAGCCGUUGAAACUGGUUUUCUUGAGUGAGCGAGAAGUAUGCGGAAGGCGUGGUGUAGCGGUGAAAUGCAUAGAUAUCACGCAGAACUCCGAUUGCGAAGGCAGCAUACCGGCGCUCAACUGACGCUCAUGCACGAAAGUGUGGGUAUCGAACAGGAUUAGAUACCCCAGUAGUC
This 459-nucleotide ribosomal RNA is filed under the name uncultured bacterium. Its description in RNAcentral is "partial 16S ribosomal RNA". It matches the Rfam family "Bacterial small subunit ribosomal RNA", at positions 338 to 795 of the family's 1533-position model. The record is from RNAcentral.